Molecule: long non-coding RNA, 4462 nt
Organism: Cavia porcellus (domestic guinea pig)
Lineage: Eukaryota; Metazoa; Chordata; Mammalia; Rodentia; Caviidae
Exons: 2
Source: RefSeq, a predicted model, not a curated record
GGAGGGAACGCUUUUUCACUCUUUCCUUGUCCUGUGAACUUAACACUUUAAAUCUCAGAGUUGCGAAAAGCGAUCUGCAGGGCCUGUCAGGGCCCCCAGGUCUUGCUGUGUACCAGCACGGUAAAUGUUUAAUUUAAAAACAUUCAUUGCGGUAAAAGACACAUUGCCAUUAACUUCACAAACGCUACUCCACCUCGCUUUGAACACACCUGUCAAAUGGUUCUUGCUAUUUUCGGGACUGGAACUUGAAGAUCUGUUUCGUUUUUUUUUUUUUUUUUUUUUUUUUUAGGUAGGAUUUCAUCCUGUGGUUCCGCUGGCCUUGAAGUCACUUUGUAGCCCAGGCUGGCCUUGAAUUGGCUUCAGUCCUCCUGCCUCAAUCUCCUGAGUGCUGGGAUUACAGGUGUACGCCACCUCAUCCAGUUUCCUAAUUACCUUUAUGAGUGUGAUAAAAAAUAUGGUGAAUGCUGCAGGCUCACAAAAUCUAGCAUGUCUUCAUCUUUUUUUUUUUUUUUUUUUUUUUUUUUUUUUUUUGAGACAAGGUCUUCCUAGGUAGCACAGGUUGGCCUUGAGCUCACGGUGAUCCUCUUGCCUCCGCUUUCUGAAUGCCAAGAUUAUAGGUAUGUGCCACCCGCUUAUCUCAUGCAUCUUUCUUGUUUUUUGAGUUAGAGUCUCCCUUCUCACUGUGCAGUGCAGGCUGGCUUGAACUCACACAUAUAACCUAGGCUGGUCUAGAAUUUACAGUAAUCCUCCUGACUCAGCCUCUUGAGUAUUGGGAUUACAGGCAUGCAUCACCAUGCCUGGCUCCUCAACCAUUUUAUUCAUAGGAUCUAGCAUCUGGCACUGUGUGACUUCUGGUUCUUCCCCAAAACUAAAAUGAUCAUGAAAGGUAAACGUUUUGAAUCAGUUCAAGACGUUGAUGUAGCGAGAACAGUGAAGUUAAAAGUUUAUGAAAGAGGCCUUCCAGAACUGCUCCAGAGGGUGGCAUGAAGGAUGGGAGAAGUAUUUUUGUGUGUGGGUGGUGGGAGGGCGGGGGCUUGGGGUAAUGACAAUUUUUCUUUUACUGUAAUAAAUUUUAAAAAUUUAAAUGCUGAAAUUUUCAGUCAUAAGUGUAUGUGCUCACUCUGCACAUUCAUGUUAGAAAAGUAGAAAGUGUUAUACACUAACAAAAAGAGCUUCCUUAUGUUUGUAUUAGUUUGCCAAUGCCCAAGUUAUAUGACCAAAUUACUUGUUAAUUCCCUUUGCAAACACAACUAUUUUCUAUAAUGGGAUGGAUACCUUGGGGCACCGACCACAUUGUUAUAAAAUAGCUGUAGCUCUGUCAUACUGUUCUGUAUGCUCCAUCUUCCCGGAUGACCUAACUGAUAUGUUAACCAUUGCUCCCCUCUGCAAAGGACAGAUGUUAUCUAAAAUUAAGUGCUAAAAUUAGUUGACAAAGGAUUGUAAAUUCUUGCGAGACCUCUCUGUCCUCUGCAAAGGGAAACAAAGGUCUUCCCCAUUCCUUAGCUGAUCAAGAAUUUCCUCAUUUCCUGAUCCACAUCCAUAAACCCCUUUCUUGUAAUUGCUCUUUCUACAAAAGUCUGUGAAAAGUUUUAAGCGAGUUACACAGCUUUGUGAACUCCUACUGCACUGUGUUCCUGGUACCAGGUUAAAUAAAAGCGCCCCUUUUUCUUAAAAAACAUGUCUUGCCCCAUUUUUGGACACCAUUUUGGGGGCUUGUUUUUGGAGUGCAAGAGAAAGAUCCAUUUUAAAAACAAGGAAGAGGGGGCUGAGGAUAUAGCUCAGGGGCACAAGUGCUUGCCUGAAUUUGAUUCCUGGUACCAAAGGGAAAAAAACAAACAAAAAAAACCUCCCACCAAAACCAAAAACAAAAAAACCAAGAAACAAGGUAGAGAGUAAAAGCAGAAUAGGUACUAGUCACAGAGCAGGUCCCCAGGAGCCAGGGCUAUCUCUUUCUCCCCACUGGAGAUAAUUAAUAAGCAGUAGUGACCAUUGCCGGGUGGAUUGCCAUAGGAUUGUUGGUGGUUACUGCCAAGGGAUUAUUGCCACUUUUUCCUUAAACUUUAAACUGAUAACAGCUGAAAAGCAAAAAACUGAAACUUCAAACCCAAAAAAGCAACUGCAAGUAAAAGUCACCCUGUGUUAGUAAGACAUUUGUCUUUGUGUUUGCAAUGGAGUUGGGAAUUUUACUUAUUUGCUUUUAUUUUUUUGGUACCGGGGAUCAAGCUAACGACUUUGUACUUGUCAGGCAGGCGCUUAUGCUGCUGAGCUAAAUCUCUGGCCCAGGGGUUUCACUAAGAACUAGAACUUCUGGCCACUAAUCCUGGUUCUAUAGCUUUGUUGUAAAACUUUUUGAUAAGACUCCUUGCUGUGCCUUCUGAGGUUCCAUUUUUUCAUCUGUUAAGGUUGAGUUUGUCUUUCCUAUUUCAUAACAUUCUUCUGGCUCUCCGCUAAAAUGAUGGUUUUGAGGAAGAGGGCUUCAAAUCCUUCAGAGUAGAUGGAGACUGGAGGGACUGGGCUGCGGGCAUUCUGGUGUCUGUUCUUGCCCUGUUCACUCACUGAGCACAUGGAGCCAAAUCUUCAUCUCUGUGUUCAGCCUCUCUAGACCCACAUUUUCUGUCACUUGUUUGGGAAAUUGAAAGCCCCCUCUGUGCAUCAGACUCAGUAACUCAAGAACAUUUCAUUUUCCCUAAACAAGUAUGUCUCUCUCUAGCUUCCCUUUCCCUGCCAGGGGUGCUGUGCUCCUCCGUUUUUGUGCUAGGGACUUGAAUGCUUUCUUACUCGCACUUCUUAUCAAAUACUAAGUGAUGCAUUGUAGCUUCCACUGUUUUAGUUUAAUUUUCAUUCCCUCUUUUCACUUAUUUUCUAUCUAUUUCCUUGCCCUUCAAUGUGUUCUGCUGCCGGUUAAAAACACAUUUUCCAGAGCUGGGGAUUUAGCUCAGUGGCAUAAGGGCCUGUGUUGGGCGCAGGCGCUCAACAUACCAUACCCCACCCGGGACUAAGGACCACGCCAGCUUCCGCAAUGCGCUACGUCCCUCCUUAAAUUAGCCAACCCGUGUGCACUUCGUGCUCACUCCAUACUCUGUGGCAACUCCUGAUUGGCCACAGCUGGAUAUAGUAGCCGGAGCCUACAUCCCAUUCCCGCCCUGCUUCCUUGUGGUAGCCUGUGAUUGGUCACGGCCGAAUAUAUAAACCAGAGCCCGCCUAAAUAAACUAGCAGUUAACUGUCGUCCACAAAAGCGUCUCCUGUCUCCUGUUUCAUUGGAGCUGCGCCGGUCAACUGGUGGCCCGUACGGGGAGCCCGGAGCACUGAGACCCUCUCUCCGACAGUACGAGGAGCGCUGAGACCCUCUUUCCGAUGGAACAGAGACGUUAACAGGAAGAAGGCAGCGAACCUGUCUGGGUCCCGGAACGCCUGAUACGUCCCUGCAAACCACCAGACCCUGACCCAGAGGAAACGUCAACCACAGAACAGGGGAACCAACAGGAGCCUCACAAGCCAGACCAAGCAAGUAUACCCACAACUCCCAUUAACCAUGGCACCUUGGCCAACUCCCCUGGUUAGUAGCCUCCUUUUCCCUUCCUUCUUGCAUCUCGUACGGUCCUUGCAGCCAGUGACUUUUCUAAAUUGCUCCACCGCAACCUGUUAUAUGUUAUAAUGUUGGGAUAACAGUACACUUUCAGCUGUUGUUAUGCAGGUACUCCAGUUCGCACCGAUUCCAGUUAUGGCGGACUCAGACGAGUUUCCUGUGAUCCAGCUCGGGCCAACUCUCCAAUUGGCUUUCAUAAAGGAAUGGGCAGGAACAGGGGCUCUGGCUACCAUAACUACACUUGCCGCAUUCGGCAGUCUACUUCUGCUCUGUCGGAUUCGCAGACAAAGGAAUAGGGACAAAGUAUCAAACAAGCAUUGCUGAUCAUGGAAUCUGGUCAAAGCCCGGCAGCAUGGCUCGCCAUGCUGUGACGCAGGUGUGGAGCAAAGCAUCGCAGGGGGUGUCGUCCUUGGCCAGGAGACACCCCGGUCCCCAUGUCGGUGAGCAUGUGGGUUGGGCUCAUAAAACAGAUUUCCCGCCCCCUCCAAAAGAGCACCAACGAGUAGUGAGGCACUGUCAUGACUGCAGCGUGACACCUCACGAGGGGCACCGACCUCUGGAGACCCUGCGUCAGUUAUAAAGAAAGGGGGAGAUGUUGGGCGCAGGCGCUCAACAUACCAUACCCCACCCGGGACUAAGGACCACGCCAGCUUCUGCAAUGCACUACGUCCCUCUUUAAAUUAGCCAACCCGUGCGCACUUCGUGCUCACUCCGUACUCUGUGGCAACUCCUGAUUGGCCACAGCUGGAUAUAGUAGCCGGAGCCUACAUCCCAUUCCCGCCCUGCUUCCUUGUGGCAGCCUGUGAUUGGUCACGGCCGAAUAUAUAAACCAGAGCCCGCCUAAAUAAACUAGCAGUUAACUGUCGUCCACAAAA